This is a non-coding RNA of Fusarium mangiferae, 120 nucleotides long. NCBI's taxonomy places the organism in Eukaryota, Fungi, Ascomycota, Sordariomycetes, Hypocreales, Nectriaceae. The record is from the annotation of a RefSeq genome assembly.
CCCCGGUUGGUGCAGUGGUUAGCACAUUGUCUUUGCCUACUGUCGCCCUCUGUGGUGCAGUACCCGACCAACUCCCGUUGAGGCAAAGACAAAGGUCACGAGUAAAUCUUGUACCGGGGA